RNAcentral lists this unclassified non-coding RNA (336 nucleotides) under soil metagenome. RNAcentral's name for it is "partial contains 5.8S ribosomal RNA, internal transcribed spacer 2, and large subunit ribosomal RNA". The stretch from base 1 to 120 matches the Rfam family "5.8S ribosomal RNA", at positions 35 to 154 of the family's 154-position model. The record is from RNAcentral.
GAUGAUGAACGUAGCGAAAUGCGAUAAGUAAUGUGAAUUGCAGAAUUCAGUGAAUCAUCGAAUCUUUGAACGCACAUUGCGCCCGCCAGUAUUCUGGCGGGCAUGCCUGUUCGAGCGUCAUUUCAACCAUCAAGCCCCAGGCUUGUGUUGGGGACCUGCGGCUGCCGCAGGCCCUGAAAACCAGUGGCGGGCUCGCUAGUCACACCGAGCGUAGUAGCAUACACAUCGCUCAGGGCGUGCUGCGGGUUCCGGCCGUUAAACCCCUUUUUUACCCAAGGUUGACCUCGGAUCAGGUAGGAAGACCCGCUGAACUUAAGCAUAUCAAUAAGCGGAGGA